UGGUUUUCUAAUUUAAUAUGCAUUGGCAAGGUAUUAAUCGAAGAGGUGCCACCAAUUGUCAUUCCUGCUUGCAAAAAUCUAGCAUACCACCACUCUCCUCUUUUGCCAAAUGGUACUGUGCCAGGGCUUGAAGUGCAGAAAUGAGGCUGAGGUGACCUCUGCUCUCCUGAAGAUCACAGUUGAGUUGAGGAGACAGAUGGUACAAGAGAUCCCAGACCAACAGAGUGUCACCACACGUGGCAAUGAUGGCUCCACAGGAAACCCAUUAGGCAUGAGGGUGACGAUCAGGGCUGGGACUGCUUUGGACUAGAGGCACUCUCUGGCAGGUGUUUCUGAGCAGAGAACAUUUCAGGCGAGUCAAGGAUGAAUCGGAGGGGCUGACAGGAUUCCACUGAUAAUUCUUUGGAGCAAAAUGAUGCCUUUGCAACUUAGUCAUCAGCAUUUGGAAUACAGUUUCUCUUGUCUGAGCUUAAACUGAAAGAACCCACAGUCUGUGAGUUCUAGCCGUUUAGAAAAAUGGCAGCUGCCGUAAGACGUGAACUUGGCAUUUGAAAUCAGCAGAGAACGAGGAGUUAGUGUGAGCUGCAUGAAAAUCAUAUGCGUGAUUUUUCCUGUUUCCUGCUCUGUAGCUGACAUCAGGGGAGCAAACUGAACACAGGAAAAUGGAAAUCAACACUGGAAACUUUUAAAUGGAAGAUUUAUUGGGGUUCCACAUAUGGAAGACUGCAAAUAUCAGGAGUGUGUGACUCCGUAAAUUAAUCUGGAGUGACCAUAUGCUCUGACUGCCUCCCAGGACAAGAAGGAGAAUGUGGCCAACACUCCUGAAGGCCCUUUUCCCCUCAAAGAUAACCACCGGCUUGACUCCUGACACCAUACCUUUGUUUUGCUUCUUUUGAACUUCAUGUAAAUGGAAUCAUAUGAAUCACUGCAAUUGAAGGAAAAAUGUUCCAUGUUCCCUCUGCCAGUUGGUGUUUAUCAAAGGACAACAGAGGAAGAGAGACAAAGUGCCUGGGUGUGUGUGUUAAUCAAACGUUGUCAGGACCCUGCCUCUAAAAGAAAGGGCUAAGAUGAUGCUUUUGACAAGACUUUUCUCAAAGUGAAUGCAGUCUAAGGGUUGGAAAACAAGGCCCAAUCAGGCUAGGUCUGACCUGUUGCUUGCUUUUGUAAAUAAAGUUUUAUUGGCUCACAGACACA
Molecule: long non-coding RNA, 1194 nt
Organism: Cebus imitator (Panamanian white-faced capuchin)
Lineage: Eukaryota; Metazoa; Chordata; Mammalia; Primates; Cebidae
Exons: 6
Source: RefSeq, a predicted model, not a curated record